AACGUACGCUGGCGGCACGCCUAACACAUGCAAGUCGAACGAAGUAGCAAUACUUAGUGGCAGACGGGUGAGUAACAUGUAGGUAUCUGCCCUUUGGCCUGGAAUAACACGAGGAAACUUGUGCUAAUACCGGAUAAGUCUUUACGGAGAAAGCUUUAUGCACCAUUGGAGGAGCCUGCACUAGAUUAGUUUGUUGGUGGGGUAAUGGCCUACCAAGACUGUGAUCUAUAGCUGAUUUGAGAGGAUGAUCAGCCACAUUGGGACUGAGACACGGCCCAAACUCCUACGGGAGGCAGCAGUGGGGAAUCUUGCACAAUGGAGGAAACUCUGAUGCAGCGAUGCCGCGUGAGUGAAGAAGGCCUUUGGGUUGUAAAGCUCUUUCGUCGGGGAAGAAAAUGACUGUACCCGAAUAAGAAGGUCCGGCUAACUUCGUGCCAGCAGCCGCGGUAAUACGAAGGGACCUAGCGUAGUUCGGAUUUACUGGGCUUAAAGAGUUCGUAGGUGGUUGAAAAAGUUGGUGGUGAAAUCCCAGAGCUUAACUCUGGAACUGCCAUCAAAACUUUUCAGCUAGAGUAUGAUAGAGGAAAGCAGAAUUUCUAGUGUAGAGGUGAAAUUCGUAGAUAUUAGAAAGAAUACCAAUUGCGAAGGCAGCUUUCUGGAUCAUUACUGACACUGA
Molecule: ribosomal RNA, 676 nt
Filed under: alpha proteobacterium IMCC14573
Lineage: Bacteria; Pseudomonadati; Pseudomonadota; Alphaproteobacteria
Description: bacterial SSU rRNA
Rfam family: Bacterial small subunit ribosomal RNA
Source: RNAcentral